CACGUAGGGCGCAAGCGUUGUCCGGAAUUAUUGGGCGUAAAGAGCUCGUAGGCGGUCUGUUGCGUCUGCUGUGAAAACCCGGGGCUUAACCCCUGGCUUGCAGUGGAUACGGACAGACUAGAGGUAGGUAGGGGAGAAUGGAAUUCCUGGUGUAGCGGUGAAAUGCGCAGAUAUCAGGAGGAACACCGGUGGCGAAGGCGGGUCUCUGGGCAACAACUGACGCUGAGGAGCGAAAGCGUGGGGAGCGAACAGG
This 253-nucleotide ribosomal RNA is filed under the name uncultured bacterium. Its description in RNAcentral is "partial 16S ribosomal RNA". It matches the Rfam family "Bacterial small subunit ribosomal RNA", at positions 524 to 776 of the family's 1533-position model. The record is from RNAcentral.